This 791-nucleotide ribosomal RNA is filed under the name uncultured bacterium. RNAcentral's name for it is "bacterial SSU rRNA". It matches the Rfam family "Bacterial small subunit ribosomal RNA", at positions 8 to 798 of the family's 1533-position model. The record is from RNAcentral.
AGAGUUUGAUCAUGGCUCAGGACGAACGCUGGCGGCGUGCUUAACACAUGCAAGUCGAGGGGUAGAGGUUGCUUGCAACCUUGAGACCGGCGCACGGGUGCGUAACGCGUAUGCAACCUACCUUUUACAGAGGGAUAGCCCAGAGAAAUUUGGAUUAAUACCUCAUAGUAUAUAUCUUUCGCAUGUUAGGUAUAUUAAAGUUCCAACGGUAAAAGAUGGGCAUGCGUCCUAUUAGCUAGAUGGUAAGGUAACGGCUUACCAUGGCUACGAUAGGUAGGGGUCCUGAGAGGGAGAUCCCCCACACUGGUACUGAGACACGGACCAGACUCCUACGGGAGGCAGCAGUGAGGAAUAUUGGACAAUGGGCGCAAGCCUGAUCCAGCCAUGCCGCGUGCAGGAAGAAGCAUCUAUGGUGUGUAAACUGCUUUUGUACAGGAAGAAACAUCCCGACGUGUCGGGACUUGACGGUACUGUAAGAAUAAGGAUCGGCUAACUCCGUGCCAGCAGCCGCGGUAAUACGGAGGAUCCAAGCGUUAUCCGGAAUCAUUGGGUUUAAAGGGUCCGUAGGCGGUUUGGUAAGUCAGUGGUGAAAGCCCGCAGCUCAACUGUGGAACGGCCAUUGAUACUGCCAGACUUGAAUUACAAGGAAGUAACUAGAAUAUGUAGUGUAGCGGUGAAAUGCUUAGAUAUUACAUGGAAUACCAAUUGCGAAGGCAGGUUACUACUUGUGGAUUGACGCUGAUGGACGAAAGCGUGGGGAGCGAACAGGAUUAGAUACCCCGGUAGUCCAA